This 73-nucleotide transfer RNA is filed under the name Actinophrys sol. RNAcentral describes it as "tRNA-Phe". It matches the Rfam family "tRNA". Rfam says of the family: Transfer RNA (tRNA) molecules are approximately 80 nucleotides in length. Their secondary structure includes four short double-helical elements and three loops (D, anti-codon, and T loops). Lineage: Eukaryota; Actinophryidae. The record is from RNAcentral.
GUAAAUGUAGCUCAGUAGGUAGAGCAUUGGACUGAAAAUCCUUGUGUCAUAGGUUCGACCCCUAUCAUUUACA